Molecule: long non-coding RNA, 1280 nt
Organism: Clupea harengus (Atlantic herring)
Lineage: Eukaryota; Metazoa; Chordata; Actinopteri; Clupeiformes; Clupeidae
Source: Ensembl
GGCCCUUGAUUUCAUAAUCCAUCCACAGCUCAUUCUUUCACUUUGUGUGGCGGUUAUAUUAGGUACAGCUAUACGAUGUACAUCUAGUUCAAAAGUGGCAUGAUUGGUCUAACAGCCUUAAUAGACCUGAUAGACCAGAGGCCUGUGGGUCUUGUGUCAAAUGCAGAAAUGUUGUACAGCUUGGCCCAACCUCAAGCUCCACAUUAGAUAACCAUGACAACACAACCCUUCACUGUAAAGCAUUUGUUAUUGCCUCUUGCUCUGUUUUCCUGUCAUUGUGAAAUGUUAGCUUUCUCCCUUUUCUAUGAAUAAAAUCACAGCUGUAUCACAGUUCUUGGUAGUCUGUCAUCACUGAAAAAAGACUACUUACCAUGCCAAAUUAACCAUAGGGUAUUGGGAGAGGGAUUGAAUGAAUGAUAACAAGCAAGAAGGGUUCUGAAAUAAGUUAAUUAUGUAUCCAUGUAACCUUUAUGAUAGUUUAACCAAGCAUGGAAGUGUCUGUGUAACUACAACUGUAUAUUUUCAACCACCAUGGUAGUCUAACAUAGCACCUUGCCCUCUGAGACGGGCUGGGAAACACUUGUGUCUGUAGAAAGGGACAGGCACACCGAGAGGAGCAGUGGACAGACAGGCCCAUCACACAGACAGACCCAUCACACAGACAGGCCCAUCACACAGACAGGCCCAUCACACAGACAGACCCAUCACACAGACAGGCCCAUCACACAGACAGGCCCAUCACACAGACAGACCCAUCACACAGACAGACCCAUCACACAGAGAGGAGUAAAACGGCAUGCAUGAGGGAUGUGGCAGCUGUGGAGAAGGAAGUAUUGAGCUCAAGAGAUCUGGUGGGGUAUUAAGAGACCUGGUGGGGUAUCAAGACACCUGGUGGGGUAUCAAGAGACCUUGUGGGGUAUCAAGACGUGACCAUGCUGGUGCCACAUGCAGUGUCUGUGCUGCAGUUGGAACAAAAGACAUCACAACUCUCACCAGCCAGGUGCUUAAGGGAUCACAUGAUUCUCUGAGGUCUACACACUAUCAAGGUACAGCAAUGUAAUGUGUUGAGUGCUGCUACUCUGCGCCCUACAGAAGAGGAUGGAGAACCACAUGAUUGUGCAGAGGUCGUUAACGUGGCCUGCACACCCUGAUAUGGUUCUCUAUGUACAUCGUUUUGCAUCAAGGGAUACAGGAAACGUGCACUGAAAAGGCAGGAACAGUGUACGUUAGUCUGCCCAAGGGGAGGAAUAGGAGAGGAGAGGGAGAGCGCAUGUUGUACU